This 582-nucleotide long non-coding RNA is filed under the name Gossypium raimondii (Peruvian cotton). RNAcentral's name for it is "long non-coding RNA (GRAI_LNC006132)". Lineage: Eukaryota; Viridiplantae; Streptophyta; Magnoliopsida; Malvales; Malvaceae. The record is from RNAcentral.
UCUGAUUGUAAUACCCGAUUUUGGCCCGGGUAAAAGGCCCAAAUUACAAACAGGUCUAUGUCGCCCAAAACCCGAAGUACAACAGGGGCCCAAAGCUCGGUGGCCCAAAUCAUUUGCAGAAACCCUAGGGUUACUGAGGAAGCCCUUUGCGCCGCAGCCACAAGCGUCCCCAUACCUGCGCAUCAAAGAGAAACAAAAAAAGAAACACAAUCAAAUAUUCGAAAAUCAAAUAAAGAAGCAUAUUUGUUUCUUCUUUAGAUUGGUUUAUGCUAUUAUGUUUUCAUUCGGCUGUAAAAAGCCAUAAAAAAUACUGUAAAAUGGGGGAUUGACAUAUAUUGGAUACAAAAAAAAGGAAUAAAAUACAUCAGUUUUCUUUAAGGUGAUUCUCAAAGUUUUUUUUAUUUUUAUUUAUUUUUUGAUCUGUUCUUGAAUAAAAGAAAAAGAAAAGAAAGAAAUUCUUACCUUCAUACCAGCGUCGUCGAAACCUCGUUUACUCCGUCCAAAUCGGGGUCUGAUGAAGUUUUGGGUUUGAAGGCGGCAGAAGAGUGUGAGACGAUUUAGUUUUUUUUUUAUGGUUUAAUG